AAGGGGAGUGGCAGACGGGGUGAGUAACGCGUGGGAACAUACCCUUUCCUGCGGAAUAGCUCCGGGAAACUGGAAUUAAUACCGCAUACGCCCUACGGGGGAAAGAUUUAUCGGGGAAGGAUUGGCCCGCGUUGGAUUAGCUAGUUGGUGGGGUAAAGGCCUACCAAGGCGACGAUCCAUAGCUGGUCUGAGAGGAUGAUCAGCCACAUUGGGACUGAGACACGGCCCAAACUCCUACGGGAGGCAGCAGUGGGGAAUAUUGGACAAUGGGCGCAAGCCUGAUCCAGCCAUGCCGCGUGAGUGAUGAAGGCCUUAGGGUUGUAAAGCUCUUUCACCGAUGAAGAUAAUGACGGUAGUCGGAGAAGAAGCCCCGGCUAACUUCGUGCCAGCAGCCGCGGUAAUACGAAGGGGGCUAGCGUUGUUCGGAAUUACUGGGCGUAAAGCGCACGUAGGCGGAUAUUUAAGUCAGGGGUGAAAUCCCGCAGCUCAACUGCGGAACUGCCUUUGAUACUGGGUAUCUUGAGUAUGGAAGAGGUAAGUGGAAUUCCGAGUGUAGAGGUGAAAUUCGUAGAUAUUCGGAGGAACACCAGUGGCGAAGGCGGCUUACUGGUCCAUUACUGACGCUGAGUGCGAAAGCUGAGCAUC
RNAcentral lists this ribosomal RNA (645 nucleotides) under Agrobacterium tumefaciens. RNAcentral describes it as "bacterial SSU rRNA". It matches the Rfam family "Bacterial small subunit ribosomal RNA", at positions 88 to 769 of the family's 1533-position model. Lineage: Bacteria; Pseudomonadati; Pseudomonadota; Alphaproteobacteria; Hyphomicrobiales; Rhizobiaceae. The record is from RNAcentral.